This 497-nucleotide ribosomal RNA is filed under the name uncultured bacterium. Its description in RNAcentral is "partial 16S ribosomal RNA". It matches the Rfam family "Bacterial small subunit ribosomal RNA", at positions 28 to 507 of the family's 1533-position model. The record is from RNAcentral.
GAUGAACGCUGGCGGCGUGCCUAAUACAUGCAAGUCGAGCGAACAGACGAGGAGCUUGCUCCUCUGACGUUAGCGGCGGACGGGUGAGUAACACGUGGAUAACCUACCUAUAAGACUGGGAUAACUUCGGGAAACCGGAGCUAAUACCGGAUAAUAUAUUGAACCGCAUGGUUCAAUAGUGAAAGACGGUUUUGCUGUCACUUAUAGAUGGAUCCGCGCCGCAUUAGCUGGUUGGUAAGGUAACGGCUUACCAAGGCAACGAUGCGUAGCCGACCUGAGAGGGUGAUCGGCCACACUGGAACUGAGACACGGUCCAGACUCCUACGGGAGGCAGCAGUAGGGAAUCUUACGCAAUGGGCGAAAGCCUGACGGAGCAACGCCGCGUGAGUGAUGAAGGUCUUCGGAUCGUAAAACUCUGUUAUUAGGGAAGAACAAAUGUGUAAGUAACUAUGCACGUCUUGACGGUACCUAAUCAGAAAGCCACGGCUAACUACGUG